RNAcentral lists this transfer RNA (69 nucleotides) under Henricia pachyderma. RNAcentral describes it as "tRNA-Met". Lineage: Eukaryota; Metazoa; Echinodermata; Asteroidea; Spinulosida; Echinasteridae. RNAcentral also lists the same sequence under 1 other name. The record is from RNAcentral.
AACAAGGUAAGCUAAUAAAGCUUUUGGGUUCAUACUUCAAGAAUAGGGGAUAAAUACCUCUCUUUGUUU